CCAACGACAUGGAUCAAGUGUAGGUAUGUAGCAUGGAAAUAACAUAAAGUGUGGUCAAUAGAAUGUCUAUUUCCAACUGGUUCUCUUUAUUGAGAUCACUCAUAAAUUGUAAGAGUACAAAAACUUUAAAACUGAAUAUCUGCAGAUAUAACUGAAUUUCAGAAUAUAAUGAACAAUACAUAAAUGUACAAUACAAAACUCCCACUAAAAUACAUAAUCCUUAUCUGAUUUGACACUCAUACAAGCAAUAUGCUCAUGAAAN
Molecule: long non-coding RNA, 262 nt
Filed under: Nicotiana benthamiana
Lineage: Eukaryota; Viridiplantae; Streptophyta; Magnoliopsida; Solanales; Solanaceae
Description: long non-coding RNA (NBEN_LNC023971)
Source: RNAcentral